RNAcentral lists this small RNA (964 nucleotides) under Vigna angularis var. angularis. RNAcentral describes it as "Non-protein coding transcript". Lineage: Eukaryota; Viridiplantae; Streptophyta; Magnoliopsida; Fabales; Fabaceae. The record is from RNAcentral.
UUCAAACAUUUGAUAGCUAUUCCACCCAGGCUAUCAUUAACGUCCUUAAUUUCUCGCAUCAAUUAUAACGCCGUUAACUGGAUAGGAUUGAAUUGAUACAAAUUUCAAAACAUAGGUACCAAAUGCCUACAUUUUUAAAACCGGGUACUAAACAGAAAAUUACCUCCUAACAUGGGGACUAAGUAGGUAAUUAAGCCUUUAAAAUAAUCUGAAAGAAGACCCUUGGAGCUCAUCUCACGUGGACAUGGCAGCAGGAGCCCUUCUCCCUAAGCACACGUGUGUUUCUUCCACCAUCCAAAACUCUGGACCCGUGACAACACCACUUCAUUUCUCCAUGAAAAUGAAUCAGCACCUGUGCUUUCUCUCCAGCCCAGCCGUGACACCACCCUUCUCAAAUUUAAUGCGCUACAUUUUUCUAAGCAAAAAAUAAAAUAAAAUAUCCGCUUCCAUUUAAAAGCCAAAAUAUAUAUGCUGUAAAAAUUUCAUCCAGACCGUAACGUCUCUUCUCCCAUGAGUCAGCGUGCUAUUUUCUAAAGAAAGAAAAGAAAAUUCAAUUCCCCUGCUGCUUCUAGAACAAAAGAAAGAAAAUGCUAGUAACACAAAAUGAAGGUGGCGGAUCUUCCUGAUUCAAAGCAAAAACAUCAAAUUCGUACAUUCUCCUAAGUGAGAAAAAGAAAAGCCUCCGUGGCCGCUACAGCUCCAGGCCGAGAACCUUCUUCCAGCACCAAAGACACCCUUUCUCCUACAUUCUCCUAAAACAUUCAAAGCCAAAAGCCUAAAAACCAAAACUCAGAAAGUGGCGGCUGGAUGCAGCUCCAGGCCGAGACACCUCCUUCCAGGACCAAGCUAAGACACCCUUUCUCCUACAUUCUCCUAAAACGUUCAAAGCCAAAAGCCUAAAAACCAAAACUCAUAAAGUGGCGGCUGGAUGCAGCUCCAGGCCGAGACACCUCCUUCCAGGACC